This 443-nucleotide ribosomal RNA is filed under the name uncultured bacterium. RNAcentral describes it as "partial 16S ribosomal RNA". It matches the Rfam family "Bacterial small subunit ribosomal RNA", at positions 338 to 795 of the family's 1533-position model. The record is from RNAcentral.
CCUACGGGUGGCAGCAGUGGGGAAUAUUGGACAAUGGGCGAAAGCCUGACCCAGCAACGCCGCGUGAAUGAAGAAGGCUUUCGGUAUGUAAAGUUCUUUCCGUGGGGACGAAAAACACGACGGUUCUCAAGGACUACGCCACUGCUAACUACGUACCAGCCGCCGCGGUAAUACGUAGGUGGCAAGCGUUAUCCGUAUUUAGUGGGUGUAAGGGGGGUGGCGGCGGGAUUGCAAGUCAGAUGUGAAAACCACGGUCUUAACCUGUGGCCUGCAUUUGAAACUGUAGUUCUUGAGUGCUGGAGAGGCAAUCGGAAUUCCGGGUGUAGCGGUGAAAUGCGUAGAUAUACGGAGGAACACCGGUGGCGAAGGCGGAUUGCUGGACAGUAACUGACGCUGAGGCGCGAAAGCGUGGGGAGCAAACAGGAUUAGAUACCCUAGUAGUC